GCCUUUACUGACGCUAAAGCUCGAAGGUGCGGGUAUCGAACAGGAUUAGAUACCCUGGUAGUCCGCACGGUAAACGAUGGAUGCCCGCUGUUUGCGAUAUAGUGUGAGCGGCCAAGAGAAAUCGUUAAGCAUCCCACCUGGGGAGUACGCCGGCAACGGUGAAACUCAAAGGAAUUGACGGGGGCCCGCACAAGCGGAGGAACAUGUGGUUUAAUUCGAUGAUACGCGAGGAACCUUACCCGGGCUUGAACUGCAGGGGAACGAUCCAGAGAUGGUGAGGUCAGCAAUGACCCCUGUGGAGGUGCUGCAUGGUUGUCGUCAGCUCGUGCCGUGAGGUGUCGGCUUAAGUGCCAUAACGAGCGCAACCCCUUUCAUUAGUUGCCAUCACUUCGGGUGGGCACUCUGGUGAUACUGCCACCGUAAGGUGUGAGGAAGGUGGGGAUGACGUCAAAUCAGCACGGCCCUUACGUCCGGGGCUACACACGUGUUACAAUGGGUGAUACAGAGGGCCGGUGCAUGGCAAUGUGCAUCAAAUCUUAAAAGUCAUCCUCAGUUCGGAUUGGGGUCUGCAACCCGACCCCAUGAAGCUGGAUUCGCUAGU
RNAcentral lists this ribosomal RNA (601 nucleotides) under uncultured bacterium. Its description in RNAcentral is "bacterial SSU rRNA". It matches the Rfam family "Bacterial small subunit ribosomal RNA", at positions 733 to 1339 of the family's 1533-position model. The record is from RNAcentral.